Molecule: long non-coding RNA, 2206 nt
Filed under: Homo sapiens (human)
Lineage: Eukaryota; Metazoa; Chordata; Mammalia; Primates; Hominidae
Description: HSALNT0061560
Source: RNAcentral
GCUUUAAAAACGGCAGUGUUCCCUACUCUCUCUCUUCCCUGUCACCAUGUGCAGCAGCUAUUUUGGAAACAUGAAGCAGUAAGCACGAGGAUGGAGGCCUAAAAUACAAGGCUUGUGGUGCAGAAAGAAGAGCAGAGCUGGAGCCCUGCUGUCAGUUAAGUCUCUGAGCUGUUGCUAAGACUGCUGAACCCCAGACUGCUGCUUGCAUAAGACCAAUACGUAUACAUUCUUGUCUAUUUAAGGCCCUAGAAGUCAGGUUUUCUGUUAUUUGUAGCAGAAUACAUUUCUAACUGAUACAAAUAGCUUCCGUAACAAUGGGCUAGUGAAUGCAUAUACAUUUCUCCUUUUUGAAAUGGGCACUAGAUUUUAUGUGAAAACAGAGGAUGUAUGAGCAGAUAAUGAAAACAAUAUACAGUCUAGUUCUCUGUAGAAUUGGCCUUUCUAGCUACAGCUUUGUCUUAAAUUAUGGCAUCUAGUCUCCUAUAUCUUUUGUUUCUUAAAAAAUUUAAACUGAAGCAAUCUAUUGUGAGGAAGCAGAUGGGCCACUUGUGUCUCUAGAUCUGGCUGGGCUUAGUUCUGCUCUUACUUGGCCUGAUUUCUUGUCCUGGCUUUUUUUUUUUUCUUGGUCACACCCUCCAGUUUCUUCCUGGCUCUAUUUGUCAUACAAAUCAAAUACUACUCUCUCUGUAACUGUGAUUUCAGAGCAGUUCUUGCUCCAUCAUUUUGGCCAAAAGUGAUUUGAUCUAAAGCUGUGAAAAUGACCAGAGAGAGACCAUCUGCAGUACUAUUUGCUUGUUCCUGGCCCUUCAGAAAAAAGUUCUUGAUCAAUGCAUCCCAAGUCUAGGCUGAAUAACUCCUUUCUGGAAUAGAACCCAUCAGCCAGCUGAAGGCAGUGCAUAUGAAACUCCAGUCCUCCAGCCAGCCAGCCUAGAGCCCUCUCAGUCAUUGAUUUACUUCAUUUCCUGACACGAGGGGGCACCUGAAAUUGGGCACCCUGCUUCAGCUGAGGCGAGUAGAAGAGGGCAUUUGUUGUCUCCUCUGCUUCUCAGCUCGUGAAUGCUGCUGCUCACUCCCUCUUCAGAAGUCAGGCGGCCUCUUCUCUGGGGAGCAUCCCUCCCUUACACACUUUGCAAAGUGCUAAGCUAACUCGAAGCACUCAAAAAUCAGAAGCAAAUCCAUUUGCUAAACCCAAGCAAAUGGAAAGGCAGGUUGGGGCUCUUGUUUACGAAUCAGGCAAAAUAUGGAGUUGAACUAUCCAAGUGUGGUUGCCGUUUGUCACUGAGCACUCUUCUUAUUUAAUGGAAAUGUUACAUUGUUGGGAGAGUUUUAGAGAGAGGUAGGUCCCAGAGACCCUUGAUAAAACCAAAGAGAGGGGCAGAUACAUCUUAUUCUUUACUCUUUAUUUGCUUGGAAAAUAAGAUGCUUGCAUUAAGAUUUGGCAUUUUCAGGGAGUCAUGCAAGGAUGCAGGGUCUGCUGGAGGUUAGUUGCAGAAGGCAGAGCCGUGUGGCAUUGGCUCUGCUGGUGAUGACCUCAUAACACCCUGCGUGGGAACUUGGCUGUGCUCAUGGCAGCCCAGCUUCCCAUUCUCUGCCUGUUUUCAAAGCCUAGAUCUUUAGUCUUGCAAACAAUUCCAAAAGUGUGCAUAUCCUUUCAAUAUACCCCCUUUGGUACAGACUACUACCUUUUCUGGCACACCAAAGAAAAAUUAAAUUCCCUCCUCCCUCCUGCCCCAGUCCUCUAGAGCAAAAUCAUGAGAAACUGGCCUGCUGUUCCAUUUCAGCCAUCAUCUUACCUGAGAUGGACACUGGUUCAUUUCUCAUGUGAUAGGAAUGUCAGUACUCCUUCAGCCCCAUCAUGAUCUGAAUUAAGUGCAGGUUUGUUUUCUUUAAUGCGUUUGAGGGAGGAGUUUGAAGGAGGUGACCAGUUACUGAUGUUUUUACCACACAAGUAAUACAUGAAUGCAUGCUUCUCAUGAAAGACUCCAACAAGGCAGGAAUAUUCAGGGGAAAACAUGAUAGACUCGUCCACUGCAGGCCCCCAUCACUCUUGCUUUACUCCAAGGGGCAAGCACUAUGAACACUGCUUUGCAUUUGUAUAGUCUGUACACAUUUAAAACACAUAAAUGGGAAUACUAUGAAUUUUGCUUUGUGACUUGUUUUUUCAAUGAACAAUUUGGGAUAACUUUCCAUAAAGGUUCAAUAUAUU